This is a long non-coding RNA of Topomyia yanbarensis, 1752 nucleotides long. RefSeq lists it as uncharacterized. The record is from RefSeq and is a predicted model, not a curated record. The transcript has 4 exons. Lineage: Eukaryota; Metazoa; Arthropoda; Insecta; Diptera; Culicidae.
GAUUUUUUCGGGACUUGUGUUUUUUUAGACUUAGUUUUUUUUUUUAAAUUGUGUUGUUUAUAUUUAUUUUUUUUUACGGUCCGGUUUGAUCGCUGGCGAAAUGAAAAUCGGAAUUAACGGUAAUCUACUGAAGAUGGACAGCAGUGAAUUUCGGUAUCGUUCUCGGGGGAGGGCUAGUGUAAGUGAUUUACGGCUCGAAGCAAAUCUCCGCAAUCAAAAGUGAUUUCAAAACGAAAAGUUUCUGUUGUGCAAAAUAGUGAUUUCGAGGAUAGAAGACUAACUUUACAAAAUGGUAGCAGCGGAUAUUAAUGUCGUCGUCAAAUUCUUCUGUAUGAAAAUACUUGUUUCUUUCAAAGACAGACAACACAGUCAACAAGUCCAGGUGACAAUGUCACACAUGCCACCGUACUGCAAACAACCAUCGAUAAAACCUAUGAGUGCGGAAUGUGUGACCAAUCAUUCCCUAAGAAGAGACAGCUGGCAGUUCACAAGCGCGUACAUGCCGGCACGCGACCGUACUCCUGUGAUAUUUGCGGUAAAGCAUACACCAAGGGUAUAAAUCUAAGCCGCCACAAACGGAUACACACCGGCGAACGACGGCACCGUUGUCGGAUAUGUGGUAGAGAAUUUUUCACUUCUGAGCAAUUGGAUCAGCACCGGCUUACCCAUAAAGAUCAGGCUUACAUUUGCGAUAUCUGCAGUAGGAAGUUUACCGAAAACAGUAGUCUCACGCGACACAGACUUAUCCAUGCAGUGUAUGAAUGACAACUCUUCGCCGCCUGCCACAUCUCGUUCAUCAAAGACUUUUCCUGCGUGUGAUGUGUGAUAAUUUUGGUAUACAGAUUCUCUACUCGUGCUAGUCCGUCUUUAGCAGGAAAAGUUUGCUCAUCCCCUCCAAGUCUUCAAGAUUAGGAAGUGCGCAAUUCCAUAAGGUGUUCCCGAGGCCAGAUCAUCGAAAAAUUUUGUCGGCAUAGCUGCAUGUAUUACCAAAAAGACAGUUUGUUUACUGGACUACUUAUAGCUCGGCUGUGGUAUGGAGGUUAAUGAACGAUCGAUCAUCAAAUCAACCGAAGUAGGAAGGAUCAGCUGGAUUAUCGGAAUGACCAUGAAGAGGCCGGGAAAUUAGUACAGCUUUAAUUUGAUAAGAAGAACAGGCCAAACUUUAUCAUGUAUGAGACGUCGACUUCAGCGCAUGAGCGCAAAUCAAUCACACAACCGCGCCAUUGAAUGGACGUAUAAUCACAGAGAACAGACGUCCAACUCCAGUUUUGAAGUUGUAUAAAAUCGAAGACAUUUUCGAAUGUAGUUGAUAUAUCAUCACCAGGUGUGUUAGUAUCGUCAUUUCGUUUGGUAGCCGAGUUCGACUGGAUUUACAGGUUUACAUGGAACUUUCAAAAUGGCCGACAUUAUUACACCUCCACCCAGCCAAACCAUUCCGGAACCGAUUGAGUCGGAAUCGGUUGUUUCCUUUCCUUUGGAAUUUGUGAAAUGGCCUCCAAAGUAGUUAAAUUUUUCUUUCAAACACAAAUGUUUUAUUUAUUAACAAGUUAUAGGUUCGAACAUACCAAAUUUAUUAAAAUAUAGUUUGCUUUAAUGUAAAAUUUAGCUGACUACCAAAGCUUUCAUAUCACAUCUCUUUUCAUACUUUUUGUAGCGACUCACUCUAUCUUACUCAGGUGCACAGUUACCGCCGGAUAAAAUAUUGGCCCCAGAAACGCUUGAUAUAAUCUGUAGCUUUUUCAAAUCUUAAUA